RNAcentral lists this ribosomal RNA (496 nucleotides) under uncultured bacterium. RNAcentral's name for it is "partial 16S ribosomal RNA". It matches the Rfam family "Bacterial small subunit ribosomal RNA", at positions 29 to 507 of the family's 1533-position model. The record is from RNAcentral.
AUGAACGCUGGCGGCGUGCCUAAUACAUGCAAGUCGAGCGAACGGACGAGAAGCUUGCUUCUCUGAUGUUAGCGGCGGACGGGUGAGUAACACGUGGAUAACCUACCUAUAAGACUGGGAUAACUUCGGGAAACCGGAGCUAAUACCGGAUGAUAUUUUGAACCGCAUGGUUCAAAAGUGAAAGACGGUCUUGCUGUCACUUAUAGAUGGAUCCGCGCUGCAUCAGCUAGUUGGUAAGGUAACGGCUUACCAAGGCAACGAUGCAUAGCCGACCUGAGAGGGUGAUCGGCCACACUGGAACUGAGACACGGUCCAGACUCCUACGGGAGGCAGCAGUAGGGAAUCUUCCGCAAUGGGCGAAAGCCUGACGGAGCAACGCCGCGUGAGUGAUGAAGGUCUUCGGAUCGUAAAACUCUGUUAUUAGGGAAGAACAUAUGUGUAAGUAACUGUGCACAUCUUGACGGUACCUAAUCAGAAAGCCACGGCUAACUACGUG